UGCAGUCGAGGGGUAACAUUGGUGCUUGCAUCAGAUGACGACCGGCGCACGGGUGCGUAACGCGUAUAGAAUCUACCUUGUAGUAAGGGAUAGCCCAGAGAAAUUUGGAUUAAUACCUUAUAGUAUCUUAAGUGAGCAUUCACUAAGGAUUAAAGAUUUAUUGCUAUAAGAUGACUAUGCGUUCUAUUAGCUAGUUGGUAUGGUAACGGCAUACCAAGGCUACGAUAGAUAGGGGUCCUGAGAGGGAGAUCCCCCACACUGGUACUGAGACACGGACCAGACUCCUACGGGAGGCAGCAGUGAGGAAUAUUGGACAAUGGAGGCAACUCUGAUCCAGCCAUGCCGCGUGUAGGAAGACUGCCCUAUGGGUUGUAAACUACUUUUAUAGAGGAAGAAACCGCGAUAUGUAUAUCGCUCUGACGGUACUCUACGAAUAAGGAUCGGCUAACUCCGUGCCAGCAGCCGCGGUAAUACGGAGGAUCCAAGCGUUAUCCGGAAUCAUUGGGUUUAAAGGGUCCGUAGGCGGGUUUGUAAGUCAGUGGUGAAAGUUUUCGGCUCAACCGGAAAAUUGCCAUUGAUACUGCAAGUCUUGAAUCAUUAUGAAGUGGUUAGAAUGUGUAGUGUAGCGGUGAAAUGCAUAGAUAUUACACAGAAUACCGAUUGCGAAGGCAGAUCACUAAUAAUGUAUUGACGCUAAGGGACGAAAGCGUGGGUAGCGAACAGGAUUAGAUACCCUGGUAGUCCACGCCGUAAACGAUGGUUACUAGCUGUUCGGACUUCGGUCUGAGUGGCUAAGCGAAAGUGAUAAGUAACCCACCUGGGGAGUACGUUCGCAAGAAUGAAACUCAAGGAAUUGACGGGGGCCCGCACAAGCGGUGGAGCAUGUGGUUU
Molecule: ribosomal RNA, 891 nt
Filed under: bacterium W15C32
Lineage: Bacteria
Description: bacterial SSU rRNA
Rfam family: Bacterial small subunit ribosomal RNA
Source: RNAcentral